Molecule: long non-coding RNA, 1872 nt
Organism: Leptopilina heterotoma
Lineage: Eukaryota; Metazoa; Arthropoda; Insecta; Hymenoptera; Figitidae
Exons: 9
Source: RefSeq, a predicted model, not a curated record
CGAGAAAUUAUCUUUUACAACAAUAGUUGUACAUAUCAAAAGUUGAUAAGAAUUUUGAAUUUGACGAAUUUAUUUUGACGUUCAACUCUGCGUGUAAUCAAUGAAACUAUCUCGACCUUCAUCUUCACUUUUGAUGGAAACUUUUUGCCGAUGCGGUUCAAAUCGAAAAGGAAACAAAAAUGUUGUUGGGAAAAAAUUGAGGAGGAAUGAUAGAUUUUUGAAAUUGCCAAGGAAAGUGAUCAACGAAAAAACUUUUAAUUCAAGAAAUUGAAUUUUAAAAUAAUUUGGAGCGAAACACGUUAUACAAAGUAAACGUGUUUCGAGUAACAGGAAAAAUACCUACUGGAAUAAUCCGAAAUUGGUCACUAUUUGGAGAAAGAAAGAGAGAGAGGAGGAAGGAAAUUUCCACCCACAGCUGGUAUAUAUUGGCGGGUGCCAAAUCGGUCAAUUAUGCAAUAUAUAAGACGUUCAAGGCCAAUGACCCCCAAAAGGCACUCCUCAAGGAUUUUUUGGAAAUAAAAUAAAUUUCGAAUGCCCAGGAAGUAGUUGUAUUGAAAGAGAAUAGAAUGAAAAUACGAUUAAAAUGACACGUUUACGCAUACUGGCAUUUCUUGCAAAGAGGUCACGUUCUCUGGGUUAAAGUCCUCAGUUACAUACUGCACGCAGCUCGACGUACCCCACUCUUUUGUGACGAACUCUGCGUUCAAAAUUAUGACGUGUUCUGCAUCAUUGUGUAUUUAAAAUACAAUUAAAAUCACAAAAACAAGGAAGCGUUCAAAUUGGUGUAUUGGCAGAUAAUUUGAAAAUUACACAAACAAUAAAAAUGCGGACAAAAAUGAGGAAAUAAUCUACAACGAAGAAAAAAUUCGAAGGUUUCGAAAGGAAAAAUUGAAGAGAAAUUCUUGAUAAAGAAUUAUAGAAUGAGAGAAGAAAGUUUGUGGAAAAUAUUUCCCACGAGCAGGCGGAGAAAUAAAUGUCGAAAUAAUUUUUUUUAAAUGAAAAUUAUUUUUGUUUUGAAAGUGAGAUACAAUGCACUCGCACGUUAUACGCAAUGUCGUUUUAUGAAUUAAUUAGAUAACGAGCAACGACAAUUAGAACUGGUAAAUGGCCGAAUGAAAACACCAUCUGCUUCUCAUCUCAAGUGAAAAAAUUGGUAUUUUCCAAUUAAUUUAAAUUGAAAUAAACGUUUGAAAAAGAAAAACAGGCCCUCAUUGACGAAAUAUUGGGACAUUCUUUCAAGUAAUUAAGAUCAAUUUUUAUCAGUGAGGAAUUUAAGUAACUGGUUCUUAUCAAAAAAAUAAGCGAAAGGAUAAUUGGAUAAUGAAGAAGAAGAAGAAGAGCGAGAAGAAAAAAAGAAAAAUGCGGAAAGGAAAAAAUGCGAGAACUGAAAGAGAUGAGUAAAGACUGAUUGUGAUGAAUAAGCUGAAUGUGAAUAAAUACCGAAGUAAAUUAACAAUAGAAGAGAAACAACGAAAAAGGAGAAGAAUUGUGAAGAUUGAAUGAAGAUUGAAAAUGAAUUGAAGAAGAAGGUCACUGUACCUUAUUUUUGGACGGCAUGUUUUUAAAAAAGAGGAAACGAGGAUCUAUGGGGGAAGUCUCCUCUUCAGGAAGGGAAAAAUAAUUCCCAAAUGGACACUGUCCAACUAUUCAAGGGAACGAAUGAUAUUAAAAUGCGACAGUUUAUCACUCAAUGGACGUGCCCACUGUUAAUUCCCCACUACCUAACACAACUCAUCUGACUUUAAUUCUCUUCCCCUCAUAUGGAGUGCCAUCUUCAUUUUCUGUUUUUCUUUUCUUUUCUUUUUUUUCUCUCACUUCUGCUAUAAUGUUGCCAACAAUAAACAAAGCAAAUUGCGAUAGAUAAGGUACAAA